Molecule: ribosomal RNA, 329 nt
Filed under: uncultured eukaryote
Lineage: Eukaryota
Description: partial 18S ribosomal RNA
Rfam family: Eukaryotic small subunit ribosomal RNA
Source: RNAcentral
CCCUUAGAUGUCCUGGGCUGCACGCGCGCUACACUGAUGUGUCCAGUAAGCACCUAACCUCUUCCGAAAGGAACGGGUAACCUUUGCAAAGCACAUCGUGAUGGGGAUAGAUUAUUGCAAUUAUUAAACUUGAACGAGGAAUUCCUAGUAAACGCAAGUCAUCAGCUUGCAUUGAUUACGUCCCUGCCCUUUGUACACACCGCCCGUCGCACCAAUCGAUUGAGGUAUCUGGUGAAAAUGCAGGAAACCUCUGUGGCAUGCUUCAUUGCAAGCCGUAGAAGAUGAAUGCAUUUAAACCAGGCGCCUUAGAGAAUGGUGAAGUCGUAACA